Molecule: ribosomal RNA, 781 nt
Filed under: uncultured bacterium
Lineage: Bacteria
Description: bacterial SSU rRNA
Rfam family: Bacterial small subunit ribosomal RNA
Source: RNAcentral
GAACGCUGGCGGCAGGCCUAACACAUGCAAGUCGAACGGUAACAUUUCUAGCUUGCUAGAAGAUGACGAGUGGCGGACGGGUGAGUAAUGCUUGGGAACUUGCCUUUGCGAGGGGGAUAACAGUUGGAAACGACUGCUAAUACCGCAUAAUGUCUACGGACCAAACGGGGCUUAGGCUCCGGCGCAAAGAGAGGCCCAAGUGAGAUUAGCUAGUUGGUAAGGUAAUGGCUUACCAAGGCGACGAUCUCUAGCUGUUCUGAGAGGAAGAUCAGCCACACUGGGACUGAGACACGGCCCAGACUCCUACGGGAGGCAGCAGUGGGGAAUAUUGCACAAUGGGGGGAACCCUGAUGCAGCCAUGCCGCGUGUGUGAAGAAGGCCUUCGGGUUGUAAAGCACUUUCAGUUGUGAGGAAAAGUUAGUAGUUAAUACCUGCUAGCCGUGACGUUAACAACAGAAGAAGCACCGGCUAACUCCGUGCCAGCAGCCGCGGUAAUACGGAGGGUGCGAGCGUUAAUCGGAAUUACUGGGCGUAAAGCGCACGCGGGCGGUUUGUUAAGCUAGAUGUGAAAGCCCCGGGCUCAACCUGGGAUGGUCAUUUAGAACUGGCAGACUAGAGUCUUGGAGAGGGGAGUGGAAUUCCAGGUGUAGCGGUGAAAUGCGUAGAUAUCUGGAGGAACAUCAGUGGCGAAGGCGACUCCCUGGCCAAAGACUGACGCUCAUGUGCGAAAGUGUGGGUAGCGAACAGGAUUAGAUACCCUGGUAGUCCACACCGUAAACGC